CCAGACCUCAUUGAGUCAUGGAAGGAUUAUCAUUGGAAGAAAUCAACAAAUGAUUUCGUGAACGAUGAUGCUCGCCAAGAUUAUGAAAAACUGAAGGCUGAUUUUGAGUUACAAACUCAGCAAACAUCCACUGAUGCUUCUAAUAAUGAUAGUCCAUCAUCAGUUGAUCAGGUGGAGGUGCUACAAAAGGUAUUAGGCGAAAGGCGUGGACAUGUGCGAGGAGUGGGCCGCAAAUUGAAGGGGUCGGGGUCAUCAUCUACCCAACACUCUCACUUCAGCGAGUCUCAAGUUCUUCCUCAUCAUUCAAGAGAAUAUAUAGAAAAAUUGGAGAAUAAUCUACAGAAAUUGACUGAUCAAGUUAAUUUCUUAACUCAAUAUUUUGUACCUUCAUUUCGUCCACCAAACGUUCAGAUGCCGCCUGUGCCUGAUAGUGACAAUAUUUCUAGGGC
Long non-coding RNA from Humulus lupulus (European hop), 449 nucleotides. RefSeq lists it as uncharacterized. Lineage: Eukaryota; Viridiplantae; Streptophyta; Magnoliopsida; Rosales; Cannabaceae. The transcript has 3 exons. The record is from RefSeq and is a predicted model, not a curated record.